Long non-coding RNA from Propithecus coquereli (Coquerel's sifaka), 246 nucleotides. RefSeq lists it as uncharacterized. The transcript has 3 exons. The record is from RefSeq and is a predicted model, not a curated record. Lineage: Eukaryota; Metazoa; Chordata; Mammalia; Primates; Indriidae.
GUUGUCAUGGGGGAGGUGGUGGCGCCUGGUGGCCACUGGCGGCCGAAGGUAGAGGCAGUGGCGCUGGAGUUGGUCGGGGGCAGCGGCAGAUUUGGAGCUUAAGCAGCUUCUUCCAGGGAAGAGUGCCUGCUGCUGUUGCAACCCAAGAUCUUGAUUCAUAUCCAUAGAUUGCAAUAUUGGUGGGCCAGCAGUCCUCAGACACCUCACUUAGGACAGAGACAGGAUCUCGCUGAGGCUGGUCUUGAA